RNAcentral lists this ribosomal RNA (253 nucleotides) under uncultured prokaryote. RNAcentral describes it as "partial 16S ribosomal RNA". It matches the Rfam family "Bacterial small subunit ribosomal RNA", at positions 524 to 776 of the family's 1533-position model. The record is from RNAcentral.
UACAGAGGGUGCAAGCGUUAAUCGGAAUUACUGGGCGUAAAGCGUGCGUAGACGGUUAUGUAAGUCGGAUGUGAAAUCCCCGGGCUUAACCUGGGAAUGGCAUUUGGGACUGCAAGGCUGGAGUGUGGCAGAGGAGACUGGAAUUCCUGGUGUAGCAGUGAAAUGCGUAGAUAUCAAGAGGAACACCUGCGGCGAAGGCGGGUUGCUGGGCCGACACUGACGCUGAAGUGCGAAAGCCAGGGGAGCGAACGGG